Quercus robur (English oak) is the source of this 756-nucleotide long non-coding RNA. RefSeq lists it as uncharacterized. The record is from RefSeq and is a predicted model, not a curated record. The transcript is spliced from 2 exons. NCBI's taxonomy places the organism in Eukaryota, Viridiplantae, Streptophyta, Magnoliopsida, Fagales, Fagaceae.
UCUCUCUCUCUUAGUCUUUGUGUUUUGCAUCUGUUUCUUUUUCUUCUUUCUUUUCAAAUGCAGGUCCAUAACUGGCUCUCAGCAGCAACUUGCUAUUCCGGCGAGAAGCGCCGAAGCUAUGCUCCCUAUAACGAUGGUGCAUCCAAGCCUCUCAACUUCAAGACAAAGUCUUUCCUUCAUAUCGUGAUCCUUCACGAUAUGGAUCUUGAAUGGAAUUUGCGCCUCCACGAACGGCUGAGCCAGAUCAUUCGCUUGUUUAUGUUUGUAUCUUUCUUUGUUCAAUCUCUGAAUUUCUCUCUCUCUCUCUCUCUAAACCUGAAUACCUCUUUCUCUAUCUUGUUUGAUCAAUGAUGAUGGUGUGGGUUUGGUGGCUUUGUUGGCGUGGGUUUGUUGACUGAUUAGUGGGUUUAGUGAUUGGUUCAGUGGGUUUGGUGAUUGAUCGGUGGGGUGGAUCGUUGGUUUGGUGAUUGAUCGGUGGUAGCGGUGGUGAUUUGUGGGUUGGUUGGUUUGAUUGGCGAUCGUUGGUUGGGUUUGUUGUUAGUGUGGGUUUCAUACUUGCUUAAGGUGGGUUUGCUGGGUUCAACUUGCUUGAGAUGGUUUUUUCUAGGUUUGAGAUUUUUUUUUUUUUUUUUUUUUGGGUUGACUGUGUUGUAUUUUUGGAUUGAUUUGGUAUUUUGGGGCUUUGGGAUUUGAUGAUUUUGCUGGGGUUUGAGAAAAUGGUGGCUUUAAGAUUUAUGAUUUUGUUUUUGAGCUGAA